GACGAACGCUGGCGGCGUGCUUAACACAUGCAAGUCGAACGGAAAGGCCCUGCUUUUGUGGGGUGCUCGAGUGGCGAACGGGUGAGUAACACGUGAGUAACCUGCCCUUGACUUUGGGAUAACUUCAGGAAACUGGGGCUAAUACCGGAUAGGAACCCCUGCUGCAUGGUGGGGGUUGGAAAGUUUCGGCGGUUGGGGAUGGACUCGCGGCUUAUCAGCUUGUUGGUGGGGUAGUGGCUUACCAAGGCUUUGACGGGUAGCCGGCCUGAGAGGGUGACCGGCCACAUUGGGACUGAGAUACGGCCCAGACUCCUACGGGAGGCAGCAGUGGGGAAUAUUGCACAAUGGGCGGAAGCCUGAUGCAGCAACGCCGCGUGCGGGAUGACGGCCUUCGGGUUGUAAACCGCUUUCGCCUGUGACGAAGCGUGAGUGACGGUAAUGGGUAAAGAAGCACCGGCUAACUACGUG
Molecule: ribosomal RNA, 468 nt
Filed under: uncultured bacterium
Lineage: Bacteria
Description: partial 16S ribosomal RNA
Rfam family: Bacterial small subunit ribosomal RNA
Source: RNAcentral